Fukomys damarensis (Damara mole-rat) is the source of this 1230-nucleotide long non-coding RNA. RefSeq lists it as uncharacterized. The transcript has 3 exons. Lineage: Eukaryota; Metazoa; Chordata; Mammalia; Rodentia; Bathyergidae. The record is from RefSeq and is a predicted model, not a curated record.
UCUGGUUUACGACCAAAGGAAGAUGUGCCAGCAUUCAACACACUCAACUGUAGUUCCAGUGUGGAUUCUGCCUCUCACUUCCAUGAGACCUUCAGCAGAGAGAUCUUCACUUCAUUGGGCCUCUAUGUAUUUGUGUUUCCUUGCAGUCCUAAGACUGCGAUUCUUAAUUUUACAGGAAGUCGAGAAAGUUGAUACAGUCUUCCCUGAUGAGUGCAGUCCGCAGUGAGUCCUACCCCAUAUCUCCUUCCUCCGUGUGUCUCCGGAAGUGUACCAGAGCUACACAGUCUAAUCUCUAUCAGACUCUGCUGGAAAGUAUCUCAUUCUCCUCCCCACCCACCCUAGCCAGCACUCAGGUCUAGGCAUCUGGUAUGGACUCAGCUAAUGCAAGUUGUCUGAGGAGGAAGUUCAGGGACUCUGCGACUAUCCCUGGAGAGUUGUCCUCUCAUCUUACUUUACAGAGAAAAGAAAGAUCAUUUGGCAAGAGUUUCCUUAGAUACUUCCUUCCUAUACACCUAAAAAUUAUUCAUGUUGAUUUAUGCUUGCAAAUACUGAAAAAAAAUGUGACUGCUAUAUUGAAUGUCUCCACCAAAACUCAUGCUGAAAUUGAAUCCCCACUGUGAGAUGUUAAGGAGUGGGAUCAGGUGACCUUUAAAAGGUGAUGAGAUCAUAAGUUCUGCCCUUGUGCAUGAGUAGGCUAAUGGUCAUCUCAAGGGUGGGUCUGUUAUAAAAGCCAGUUGGGCUUUUGUGGAUGUCCCCUUCUCACUCUGUGAUGCCCUGUGCUACCCUGGGACUCCAUAGAAAGUUCCCACCAGCAGGGAGGAGACUCACCAGAUGUGGGCCCGCAAUCUUGGACCUCCCAGCCUCCAGAACCAUAAACUUACUAAGCGUGUCUUCUUUACGAGUGAUCCAGGCUGUUUCAUUCAGUAAGCUGCCAACAGAAUGGAGAAAAAUGAAUGAUUGAGCUGAAAUGGAAAUCAUAUGUACAACCAAAGGCAUUGUUAAAAACUUGAAGAUAAGCCACAGACAUGAGAAGAUAUUUUCGCAAAUCAUCUUGAAAGCUUCACUAAAAGAUUGACUAUGAGGACGAGACCUGAAGGGAGGAAGAACUGAGAACCACGUGGUUGUGUGGUAGAAAACUGUUCCAUACAGAAGGAACAAGGAGCAGGGCCGCUUUCCUUGUGCGUUCCUCAGGUUCAGGGAGCAAAGCACGCCACCAGCGCUCAGUCUCCU